UACGGGAGGCAGCAGUGGGGAAUAUUGCACAAUGGGCGAAAGCCUGAUGCAGCUAUGCCGCGUGUAUGAAGAAGGCCUUAGGGUUGUAAAGUACUUUCAUCGGGGAGGAAAAACAAAACUAAUAAUUUUAUUUCUUGACGUUACCCGAAAAAGAAGCACAGGCUAACUCCGUGCCAGCAGCCGCGGUAAUACGGAGGGUGCUAGCGUUAAUCAGAAUUACUGGGCGUAAAGAGCACGUAGGUUGGUUUUUUAAGUCAGAUGUGAAAUCCCUGGGCUUAACCUAGGAACUGCAUUUUGAAACUGAAAUACUAGAGUAUCGUAGAGGGAGGUAGAAUUCUAGGUGUAGCGGUGAAAUGCGUAGAUAUCUGGAGGAAUACCUGUGGCGAAAGCGGGCCUCCUAAACGAAUACUGACACUGAGGUGCGAAAGCGUGGGGAGCAAACAGGGAUUAGAUACC
RNAcentral lists this ribosomal RNA (456 nucleotides) under uncultured bacterium. Its description in RNAcentral is "bacterial SSU rRNA". It matches the Rfam family "Bacterial small subunit ribosomal RNA", at positions 340 to 786 of the family's 1533-position model. The record is from RNAcentral.